Molecule: long non-coding RNA, 35590 nt
Filed under: Nicotiana benthamiana
Lineage: Eukaryota; Viridiplantae; Streptophyta; Magnoliopsida; Solanales; Solanaceae
Description: long non-coding RNA (NBEN_LNC022517)
Source: RNAcentral
ACCAAUCGCAAUUCAUCACCAUCUUGCCCGCUUCCAAUUGAUGACUGGCUAUUAUAUAAGUGUUGACCUAAGCCCCUGCGCGGGGGCUCGGCUCCCGAACCGUACGUGAGCUGUCUCGUACGGCUCUUCCUAAGAACUUCAAGCCCCCUCUCUCUAAAUAGAAAAAAAUGCAUUUACAAGACAAAAAAGACUUUUUCAAAAAGCCUUCGCCCUCCUAUUCAACGGGGCUAUUAGAGAAGCAGCUUCGUUCCUUGACUUCUUUUCUCAGUCAAGCUUCCUUGUUCCUUAGUGUGGGCUUGAUUUUUCAAUUCACAUCGAUUCCUCUAUCUCUUGCUCGCUUCGAUCGGACUCUGACAGCUUAGGGAAGAAUGAUGGGUCGCUAACGAGGCCCCUAAAUGACCGCUCAGAAGGCCUACCUAUUUUUUUUCCCAAUCUGUCACUUGCUCGUCCCUCUCUCAUGAAAAUGGUCUCUCCUCUCCCGGCGGCUUAGGGGCCCGAUACUUGAACUAGAGGAGCGACCAGUUGGUUCACAAACCCCGACCCAGCGUCACACAUUCUCCAGGUCCGAAGGGAUCCAGUGCCCAACUACCGACUCCUCCCGGAAUUGCGUUAUCGGAGCCGAGCCAGGAAUGGCCGUUAGUGGACACCCACCACUUUUCACCGGUUAGAGAGGCCCUCUUUAAUACAUUAAGAAAAGAUGUUCACAGGGGCCAGAAAGACUCGGUCAUAGGAAUAGAAACUGGCCAAUGGUUGGAUUUUAUUUAUCUUCUCUAUAUGCAAACUCCUUGGAUGUAUACUUAAUUUUUACCACAUAUCUUCUCUAUAUGCUAGCUCGCGAUUGUACACAUUCCUUUUAUGCAUAUUUUCUCUAUAUGUUCUCUUGCUUGGUGAGAUGAUUCACGGUACAUAUCUUGUCUACAUGUGGAUCCGUGUGACACGAUUUAUUUAAUCACGCAUAUCUUCUCUAUAUGCUUCUAUUGAAGGUGAUAUUUCAUGCAUAUCUUUUCUAUAUGGAACUAUGGAAGGAUUAUUUGAUAUUUCAAGCAUAUCUUCUCUAUAUGCAUUGUAAAAGGAUUAUUUGAUAUUAUACGCAUAUUAUAUAUGCAAGCUUGAUGAUUUAAUGAUAUUAAAUGCAUUUCUUCUCCAUAUGUGGAGUUGUUAAACCAGAACGGUACUUGUGCAUGUCCUCUUUAUAUGCAAAUGUUGAUAUGUUAUCUGAUAUUAAAUGUAUAUCUCUUUAUAUCUUGAAUUGCUAAGAUGUUUGCACACAUCUUCUCUACGUGAACUGUUUUGUUGUACCUUUAUUUCUUUCUUAAAUUUGGUAUUGUUUCUUGGUACGCAUUAUGUCAUUGAGUUGUACAUGUUUUGUAGAGAGAGUAUUCUUGACUUGAGACCUCAUCACUACUUCACCAAAGUUAUUUAGGAUAUUUACUGAGCAUAUGGGAUUAAUUAUACUCAUACUAUACUUCUGCUUCUUGAGUGCAGAUCUUGGAGCUGAAUUGUUGUGGAUGACAGAAGUUGGCAUUGAAGAUAUAACUGUUUUUGGAUAUAGCUACCACUUGUUCUGGUAGCUUAGGAUUCUAAACAGGUGUUAUAUUUAUUUUCAUACCAACUUUAUAAAUCUAAAUCUUAGUUGCUCAGGACUUGUACUACCAAUUCUUUGGAAAAUUAUAUGAAAUUCAGCUAUUUCAUUUCUUGUUAUUAAUCUUUCACUUGAGUUACAUUAUUCUAUGUUUGACUUACCUAGCACGUUGGAGUUAGGUGUCAUUACGACUAGGUGAAUUUUGGGUCGUGACUAUGAUGAAUAGAAGUGUGUUCCUAACUGGUACAAGUAUCUUGCAUGUGUGAAAAGGCAAAUAUAUGAUGGUGUAUUUUUCACUUGUGUGAUUCCUCAUCUCACCAUCGUCUAAUGUUCAAAUCUCCUCUAUACGCCACUAGGACCAAUACCAAGAUCUUCAAAAGAAGUGCAGAAGGAUAGUAUGAAUACAACUGACCCAAUGUACUCUAUAAGUGUUGAUCCUAACCUCGACGAAGUAAUGAGGAGUCUAUGACAAGACACUCACUAUAAAACAAUAUGAAUAAUAAAUCGAUAAAAACAGAAAAAUAGAGAAAAUGGACAAACUCACAACAAUGGGACCAGGAGGUCAACUAACAAAGUGCCCAAGAAUAACAUCAUCUCCUACCCUCGUAUCAAAGUACAGAGAAAUAGAACACCACAUGUACACACAGUAACAACACGUCAUUUCUCGUUGUGGCACGCAGCCUCGAUCCUAAUACCAAAACACCAAUUAUUGCGGCGAGCAACCUGAUCCAAAUAUCAUUUCAAUAUCUGUUGCAAUGAGCAACCCGAUCCCUAUAUCAUAUUUGUAUUCGUUGCAGCAUACAACCUGAUCUCAAUACCAUUUAUUUCUAUUCUGUUAUGGCGCACAACCCGUUCGUAAUUUUAUUUUAUUAAUUUUAGUAACUAAACAUAAUGAAUUGUCACGACCCCAGUUCGUCCUCCGUGAACUAUCGUGACGGCGUCUAGUCUCUAUGACUAGGUGGUGACGUCUGAAUCCACCGCUAAAAAGCAAUAGAUACGGUCACAGCAAUAUAAUUACCCAAUUAUGAUCGGGGUCGAAUCCCACAGAGAACAAUGUGUAGGCGAUUAGGAAUGUAAGAAAAUUUUUCGCUAGUCGCGUAGUGCCAAACAAUAAGAAUUUGAGUUGAAAAUUGUUUUUAUAUAUAAGAUGCAAAAAUGUAUACUAACCUAGAAAGCAAGUAAAAUGAUCAAUGGCUACAAAUAUGAAAGCAUCGGGAAAUACACACAUGCAACGAUCCAAUGUAUUUCACGAUUUUCCAAAUAUGAGCGAGUUUAUGUUCAUUAGCCACGGAUAAUAAUUCUUAAUUAGCUUCUUCCGAAGACAAACAAGACUUCCUAAUUGANNNNNNNNNNNNNNNNNNNNNNNNNNNNNNNNNNNNNNNNNNNNNNNNNNNNNNNNNNNNNNNNNNNNNNNNNNNNNNNNNNNNNNNNNNNNNNNNNNNNNNNNNNNNNNNNNNNNNNNNNNNNNNNNNNNNNNNNNCUAAGUUGAAUCUAUAAAAUGAGGGUUAACGCCUCAAGUUCUUGUUAAUUAAUCUUUCCCAACCCCAAACUAUUUUUCCUAAAAUUAAUUCGGAGUUAAUGGGCGAGUCAUAGGGUUAGCUAAUCCCUUUGGAAGCAUUAAAGAACAAGAAUAAUUAUAAAAAACAAUAACUCACUUCAUAAAUAUAUAAAUAGCACAACAAGGUAUAAAAUCCACACUUUAAUUAUGAAUAUUCCCAUAAACAAGAUUCAAGUNNNNNNNNNNNNNNNNNNNNNNNNNNNNNNNNNNNNNNNNNNNNNNNNNNNNNNNNNUAUGAAUAUUCCCAUAAACAAGAUUCAAGUGUUGGAUAAAAUACUACACACUUAAAUAUACAAUACAAAGCAAGAAAAUGAAGAAAGCAACAUAAAUAGGUAAGAAAAUCUUAACCAUAAGCUUCAAUCUUCAAGACCCAAGUGUGUUUGUGCAAGAACCCUAACUCCAAAACAUGUUCUUUCUAGUCUUAGAGACUAAAAAUAAGCCAAAGAUGUUUUUUUAAAUGAGCUGAAUUGGGUAAUAAUGGAUUUGGGGUAGAAGAUGUGAAAUUCUAGAACUGCACAGCCUUCACGCCUGAUUUCUUCAUCGCGUUCGCGAGUCUAGUUUUGUGUUCGCUAAGGCCACCUGUUUCUGCUCGUCGCGUUCGCGUAAACACCUUUUCGUUUGCGAAGGUUUCUUUUGCCCCACAUCGCGUUCGCAUUUGACCUACGCGUUCGCGUAGGUUUGGCUACUGGUUCAUCGCGUUCGCGAAGAGUAUUUCACUAGGCAGAUUAUUUUGUCCAUUUUAGCUCCUUUUUGUCUUGUUUUCUCUUGGUUUGUUCACCGUUACUUCUAAAUCAUAUACAACCUGGAAAAUAGAAGUAAAUGACAUUAAUUGCAGGAUUUUAUCACUCAAACAUGGCAAAAGUAUGGUUUAAAGGCAAGAUAAGUCGGUGAAAUACCAACUUAUCACACCCCCAAACUUGAACUAUUGCUUGUCCUCAAGCAACAAAAUCUCUUCCCAAGUGGUUAAACAACCUCAUAUCUUUAUGACACAAUCAAGAAGAUAUACUUUAAGUACAAAUGCAUGACUUCGAUUGGUACCAACAAUUACUCCAAAGCAUAUGAAUUAUCACGCACUUCACAUAAAAAGUCCUUAAACACCAAUGCAAGAGUAGCAAUCAAGUCAUGACACUAAAGCUUCAAAAUUUUCCUCUCCCUCACAAUCAACUUUCUUUUAUCAUUCCUCCCAAUUGAAAAUGAGAUUAAAUUCACAACUCAAACUUCAUGUGCCCUCAAAUUUAAGAGAGGAUACCACAUUCAAAAAUCUUAAUUCAAAGCAACAAUGGGAUAUCAAAUGGAAAGAAUUAAUUCACUCUCAAAAAGAUGUUCAAAUGCACACAAGUAGUACCAUAGGCUUGCCCUUUAUGUAUUCCUCCACUAAUGUAGAUAACUCGAUUCAAAUCAGUUAGGUCUUAAGGGUUGUAGUUUAGGCUUAUGGAUAAGGUAUAGUACAAUUUUGGUAAAGUGAUUCAAAACCUCCCCAAGCACUACAUAAUUUACAAUUAAAGUCCACUUCCUUCAAACACAUUUUCCACCUUUUUUUCACUUUUUUUUCACUCCUAAUCUUCCCUUUAUUCACAACUUUAUUCACUUUAUUCUAUAUAUAUUUCUUUCUUUUUCCUUUUGACUUUUUAUCAUUUUUUUUCUACCUUCCCCAUUUUUUAUUCUUUUUCUUCCACACCUAGUCUUUCCUUUAUUCUAUAUGUAUUUUUCUUUUUCUUUCUCUUUUUAUCAUUCAUAUUUUUUUUCUAUCUUCCACCUUUUCAAAAACUUCCAUAUUACAACUUUUCCAACCAUUCACCCCCAAACUUAGGAUUUUUGCCUACAUAAACACUUUAAAGUACUUAGGGAAGUAGGGUUCCAAAAGAUAUAUCAUUUGUGAACAAAGGAUUUAAGCAUGUAACAUGAUUGCAAAAGAAUAAGGUUAAAGGCUCAAAAUUUGUUGACUAGGGAAAAUAUUUAAGGGUAGGAAUUUUUAGGCAUACUAGCGGUCCAAGGAAGGACUAAUUUUAUUUUUCGAACAAAGUUAAUCUAUGAUUUUGCCUUGAAGCACAUUCCGGGCAAGUUCUAGACUACAACCAAUGCAAAGGAACUCACAAAUAAUCUCACCACACAUGGAACAUGACAUUCAAGUGGAACAUCAAUCCAAAAUCCAAUUGAAACCAAUGACUCAAAGAGGUUGCAUAUAGCAUAAGACACUAAUUUGUGAAUCAAAGAUCCAAAAUUUGAGUUUAAAAAGUCAUGACCUUUCUACUUCACUUAUUAUAUUUUUUUUAUUCUUUUUGCCAAAAUUCGAGUUUAAAAAGUCAUGACCUUUAUACUUCACUUAUUAUAUUUUUUUUAUUAUUCUUUUUCAACAAUUAACAAUUCAUAUGCCUAGGUUUAACUCAUGUUGGUACCAAGCAAGCCACAACUUGGCCAAUGGCACAAAUCCCAACUCAAACUAUUUAUCUUUCCUAAAACAAAAAAAAAACUAAUUCUAACUACAAGACUAAUUCCCUUAAGAAAGUUAUCAAUCCAUCCAUCAUCGGGAAAAGUCAACAAAAAUUUCUUCAAUUACCCGGUUCAAGAAGAAAAAUUGGCAUCCUUGAAUAAAAAACCAUGGUAUAAAGAAAACUAUGGAUAUUGCCACUAACAAAACGUAUACUAAAAUAAAUAAAACUUAAGAAGCUAACAUAUAAACCAAAGCAUCAAGUACUAAACAUACUAAUAUCAACAUACUAAAACAUACCAAUACAAAAUAUGAUAUCAAAAUAAACUAAUAACAAAAUGAAAACAGCCACAAUACUAAUCUGCCAAAUACCCAUAAAACAUAGCAGUUAUACAAGAACCAUCCCCAACUAAAGAUAUUGCAUUGUCCCCAAUGCAACUAGAAAUGAUAAAGUAAAAUGGUGGUGAGUGAUCCCUGAAUACUGCAUCAGUCAGAACUGGAUGUGGUGGGAAAUUUAAUCUCCAAGUUUGCAUGAUCAUCAUCAUCAUCCGAGUUCUGUGAACCACAAAGUGUACUCAACUUCUGCAUCAUCUUGGAAAGCAGCUUACUCUUCUUCUUUUCGUGCUCCUUGAAUUUUCUUUGCCUUUUUUCUGUCUUACCUUGCCUGCGGAUCAUGUUUCCAGCCUAGUGUUCAUGCCUCGAUCUGGGUUGUCAUAUCUUUUUGCUUCGUGACCCUUUGCCUUUUUUCUAUCUUACCUUGCCUGGGGCUCAUGUUUUCCAGCCUAGUGUUCAUGGCCUCGAUAUGGGUUGUCAUAUCUUUUUGCUUCGUGACCAUCUCUGCCAUGGAUGGUAGGGCUUCAGCUCCAAUAUAUGUGCUGGCCCCAGGUGGGCCAGUGGGAAGGCCAGCUAUGAGCUGCCUGACAUGUGCAUCAACCCCAUAAAUCUGGCUGGACAAAUGUCGCAUAGUGUGCGGCCCAACCUGGAGGGGUCCCACAGGGUCAAAGGAUCCGGCAGAAUCAGUAGUGGUCUCUGUGAACUGCCCGAAUGAAGGGGAGGCUACAUCGAUGCACCUCUUUUUCUGCUUGUCACUUGGUCCUCUUUUCAGUAGGGGAUGGAUCAUUGGAUUUCCAGGAAUUUCUCAAUGUCAUUGGGGCAUUUAAGCACCCCUGCAUCAUAGCACAGUCUGGUGAUCAAAUAGGGAAAGAACAGACUCUUAGACCUAACAUUAGCAGCUUCCUCAAUCUCUCGGACAAUAUGCUCUCCCACAUUAAUAGGAAAUCCAUCCACGAGAGCGGCAAUCAUGAGUGCCCUGUCCAUUGUUACAUCGGUGUAAUUUGUAGAAGGUGACACUCUAGAAAAAAUGAUAGAAAGCAAUGUCUUUGCUUCCGUUGUGAAGUCAUGAGAAUCCACUCUCUUCUACACUGUUAGCCACUUUGGAGUGACCCCGCCAUGCAGCUUAUCUAUCAGCCAUUGGUUCCCCCUUCUCUUGCUCUCUCUUUGUAAGCCUCGUUGUCAGCAUUGGAGAGGCCAUAAACAUAUUUGAUAAUCUGAGAGCUGAAAUGAACCUGUACGCCCCGUACGGUAGUCAUCAAUACACCCUGGAAGUCAGUCUAUCAGGCAUUUCCAUAGAACUCCAAACAAUUGUGUGGUUGGCAUUGAUUGGUGGCUCGACAAAACACAUCCAUCCGCUCUCCAUGAAGUGUGCAUAAAACUCAGGCAUUUUCUCCUCAACUUUUCUAAAUUGAUUUCUCUUUCCCGCACAAUGGUUUUGGACAGAAGUUCAUCAUAUCUCCACUCGCAUGCCGCAGAUAAAAACCGCUCAUGAUCUAAAGCUUCCUCUUGUCCAGUUCUGAAAACAUGUUCUUGUGCAAUUUUAGGGUAUUCUGGUUCCAUUAUAAAUCCAAAAUACCUACAAAAUUGACCAAAAAUGUUUAAAGCUCAUACAAACGCUUAACACAAUGUAUUAGGAAGUAUUUAAGCAAAAGAACUGGGCGGAAAAGGUCUCGGGCAGAGCUAGGCAAAGCUACUAUUUUGUGCCAUUUUUGAGACUGCCAGGCAUUGCUCUUCGCAUUCGCAAGCAGCCAGCCGUGUUCGCUAAGAGUAAAAAAAAUUUCAAAAAUCCCAGACCAUCGCGUUCGCGAGUAUACCAUUGUGUUCGUGAAGGUCAAAGUCUGCCUCCUCUUACGCGUUCGCGUGGUAAACCACGCAUUCGCGAUGUAUUCUUCUUCGCCCAAAAAAUAUUGCUUAUUUGAGGCAAUUUUUCAACCUUGUUGUGUGCCCCAUUUUGUUUCUUCAUUUACAACACAUUUAGGCACACAUUUUAACCAGAAUUUUCUGACAAGCGAGCACUCACACUCAACCAUUCUCACCAGCAAGCAACAUAAAGUUUCAAGCAUCAAUUUGCAACUUAAUGCUAAACAUUUUAACCCUAAAUACCAUACCACAAUGGUUGCUCUUCUUUCAAAAUUUACACCAAGAAAAGGGAGAAGAGGAACAAAACUAAGUUGAGAGGAGAGUAAAGAUUACAUACCUUGAAAAUGGAGAUGAUUGCAAGAAGAAUUGAAGAUUUUGAGACACUUUGAAUUUCUUGGAAUUAGGGGGUUAUGGGUCUGUUGCUUUGAGCAAAAAGGGGUAAAUUCCAUUUCCAGAAGCAUUGGGUCGUUUUAACUUACCUGACCCAACGCGUUCGUGAUGGUGCCACACGUACGUGAAGGGUAGCUGUUUCCAGAGGCCGCAAACGCGAAGAUCAUUCACGUGAACGCGAUGGGUAACAGUGCCCAGAGGACGCAAAGCGAAACGCCUCCACGCGUUUGCGAAGCACUAAAUUCUCUAGAGCUUCGCGAACGCGAUGCUCUCACGCGAACAUAUUGAAGUAUAUUUUUUUGCACUUCAACAGUGCUGGCAGCUACUGGUUAUGGCGCUCCAGAACAAUCCGACCUGCUCAAAUUAAAUCUAAAAAUUGGUAGAUUAUUCAAAAAUAAUAUUCUAAUCUAUUCUAAAAACGAAAUUUUCAAAAAUGAUGAAAAAUUUGAAAAACGAUGGGUUGCCUCCCACCAAGUGCCGCAUUUAACGUCGUGGCACGAUGCAAACAAUAUUACCACUUUUCUUGCCACUUGGAUGAUAUGAAUUGGGCACAUAGCUUGGAAUGAAGCUUGUGACCACGAGCGAUAGAGGGUGGUAAGUUGAUGAUUGAGCCAAUGAUUAAAAUCUUCAUUUUGCCCUUCUUGAUUUUCAAGUGAGGGAUGUCGUUUUGAUUCCUUGUCUCCUCAAACUGUAAUACGUAUGGCUUGAGUUUUUCCUCCUCGCAUCCUUCAUUGAUUCAUGAGGUUCAACUUCCGCAUCACCACAUAAUUCCAACAUUGAAAAAUGCUUGGAAUGUGACUUCAAGCGUUCACUUUGCAAUUUAUCUAUCUUGACAUCCUCUUUUCCCCCCAGAUUAGAGUAAAUAUUAACCAAUAUUGCCUUUUUACCGGUUGACUCCAAUUCCAUAUUUUUGUCGACAUCAAUAACACUCAUUAAGUCGGUUGGCGGAUGUUCAGUUCUUGACUCCUCAAAGUAAAUCUCACUUUCUUUCUCGGAAUUGGACUCUUCUUGGCUUUCUUCCACACAGUCAAGUUGUUAGGCAUAGUGAGCCUCAACCAAUUUUUUCGUUUGGUCUUCCAAAGUGCGGAUGUGUUCAUCAUUGUAAUUCAAGGCUUUUCUCAAGUCCUCGAGUGCAAGGUUAUGCUUCUCCUCAUUUUCAAGAAUGGUCUCCAACAUUGAGCAUUAUUUUCUCAUCUUGAGCAUUUGGGAGUUCUUCUUGGUUUUGAUCAAGUGCCAAGGUCUCUCCUCAUUUUCAAGAAUGGUCUCCAACAUGAGUAUUAUUUUAUCAUCUUGAGCAUUUGGGAGUUCUUCUUGGUUUUGAUCAACUGCCAAGGAAGGAUUUUCAUUUUCGACCUCCAAGCGAGACUCUUGGUUUCCAUUCACUUCCGAGGCUUUUUGAGCCCUUGAGGCUUCGAUCAACUAAUCCAUUUGCGAGUGCAACCAUUCAAGUGCCAAGUCAUUUUGAAGACUAGUCUCCAAAAGUUGUUCCAAGGCAUUUUGCUCUUUGUUUCCUUCUUCAAGCAAACACUCCAACAUGAGUUUGAACUCUCCAUUUGGGCCAUGCUCACUUUCUUCCAUUUGCAUAGCCCUAUAAUUCUCAUUGCACAAAGCAAACUCAUCAUAGUAGGGGCUUGGGGAAGGGAAGGUCAAAUAUGCACAAUAAUCCCAAUGACCAUUUUGGCAACCAAACUAAUCACAAAUACUCCAACCUUGGGGUUGAGAUUGUGCGCACAAUCCACCCCCGGAAGAAUUUAAACAAUGUUGCCAUGAGCGUGGUCCACCACAAUAAGGACAAGGGUCGUCAAAAUAUAAACAACUCCCAUCCGACCAAUUAUCAUUAUAUGAUGCCAUUUUUCAAGAAUAAUAAAAUAAACAAGAAACUAACAAGAAAAAUAGACCCAAGGUAAGAAAAAUAAUUACACUAGUUUGGAUCAAAGCACUUUCGCUUAUUUCUCAAUAAAUUACGCCAAAUUGUGCCCCAGCAACGGCGCCAAUUUUGGUGACGUCCAAAUCCACCGCUAAAAAGCAAUAGAUACAGUCAUAGCAAUAUAAUUACCCAACUAUGAGUCAGGGUCGAAUCCCACAGAGAACAAUGUGUAGGCGAUUAGGAAUGUAAGAAAAUUGUCGCUAGUCGCGCAGUGCCAAACAAUAAGAAUUUGAGUUGAAAAUUGUUUUUAUAUCUAAGAUGCGAAAAUGUAUACUAACCUAGAAAGCAAGUAAAAUGAUCACAAGUAUGAAAGCAUCGGCAAAUACACUCAAGCAACAAUCCAAUGCAUUUCAAAAAUUCCAAAUAUGAGCGAAUUUAUGUUAAUUAGCCACAGAUAAUAAUUUUUAAUUAGCUUCUUCCGAAGACUAACAAGACUUUCUAAUUGAAUUAUCCCUAAUCACAAUUAGNNNNNNNNNNNNNNNNNNNNNNNNNNNNNNNNNNNNNNNNNNNNNNNNNNNNNNNNNNNNNNNNNNNNNNNNNNNNNNNNNNNNNNNNNNNNNNNNNNNNNNNNNNNNNNNNNNNNNNNNNNNNNNNNNNNNNNNNNNNNNNNNNNNNNNNNNNNNNNNNNNNNNNNNNNNNNNNNNNNNNNNNNNNNNNNNNNNNNNNNUAAAAUUAAUUCAGAGUUAAUGGGCGAGUCCUAGGGUUAGAUAAUCCCUUUGGAAACAUUAAAGAAUAAGAAUAAUUAAAGAAACAAUAGAUCAGUUCAUAAAUAUAUAAAUCAUUCAAUACGUAAGCACAACAAGGUAUAAAAUCCACACUUUAAUUGUGAAUAUUCACAUAAACAAGAUUCAAGUAUUGGAUAAAAUAGUACACACUUAAAUAUACAAUACAAAUCAAGGAAAUUAUGAAAGCAACAUAAAUAAGUUAGAAAAUCUUAACCACAAGCUUCAAGCAUCAAGACCCAAGUGUGUUUGUGCAAGAACCCUAGCUCCAAAACUUGUUCUUUCUAGUCUAAGAGACUGAAAAUAAGUCAAAGAUGUUUUUUUAAAUGAGCUGAAUUUGGUGUUAAUGGAUUUGGGAUAGACGAUGUGAAAUUACAGAAUUGCCUAGUCUUCAUGCCUGAUUUCUUCAUCGCGUUCGCGAGCCUAGUUUCGUAUUCGCGAAGGCCACCUAUUUCUGCUCAUCGCGUUCGCGUAAACACCUUCGCGUUCGCGUAGGUUUGGCUACUGGUUCAUCGCGUUGGCGUGACCUCUUUCGCGUUAGCAAAGAGUAUUUCACUGGGCAGAUUAUUUUGUCUAUUUUAGCUCCUUUUUGUCUUGUUUUCACUUGGUUUCUUCACCAUUACUUAUAAAUCACAUACAACCUGUAAAAUAGAAGUAAAUGACAUUAAUUGCAGAAUUUUAUCACUCAAACAUAGAAAAAGUGUAGGUUUAUAGGCAAGAUAAGUCGGUGAAGUACCAACUUAUCACUAGGUAAGCCUAAAUUAAGAAAUAAAGACCAAAUUUGCAGAAGUAAAAUAGUUUAAAAGCGGAAUUUAAAACAUUAAUAGUGUCUAAAUGUGCCGCUCGACAUACACCAUUUAUAAAUCUCAACCACUAUCUAACCCAAGACCCGGAAACCCACGAAUCACAAGCUAAGACAAGAAAUACUACAUAACUCUAACUCCGGAGUUUUUUUGUCUAUAAAGUUCAGAAAGUACAGAAGGGGAUGAAAUACUAAAAGUAAAAAUAAAAAGGGACUCCUAGGCUUGCGGACGCGACAGGUUUGUCUGUUAAAAACAACUAGUACUGAAGGGCUAAAAUACUAAAAGUAGGAAUCUAGAAGGACUCCUUGGACUGUAGACGCAACAAGUGUACCUCAAAGUCUCUGAGUAGUCGUCUCCCUCAAGGAUGAUAGGCCUGAGAAGAAGUACCUGGAUCUACACAUGAAAAACAUGCGUAGAAGAGGCAUGAGUACACCACAACGGUACUCAGCAAGUACCAAGCCUAAUCUCGGUCGGGUAGUGACGAGGAAGGUCAGGACCCUAAUGAGGUUAAACAUAAUAUAAAGUUCUAACAAUGUGAAAUAGACAAUAUUAUUGAGAGCAACAAUGAAAUAAGAUAGGUUAUACAAGAAGGAACAGAAUAACACAAAAUAUGAAUAGCUCAAUAUCAAUAGCAACAACGAGGAUCUCCCAGGCUAUCGUCCUGCAGUCUUUUUCAUCAAUUUCCUUAGAUUCUCCCGGGAUAUCGUCUCCUAGUCAAUCAUAUGUAGAUAUUCGAAGGAUCUCCCAAGAUACCGACCCGUAGUCCAACUAUCAAUGCGCAUGAGAUCUAUUGGGAAUCUAACCCGCAGCCCCAAAGUAAAUGUGCAGAGGGAUCUAUCCCGAAUCAAACCCGCAAUCCCAAAGUAAAUGUGCAGGUGGAUAUAUCGAGAAUCGAACCCGGAGUCCCAAAGUAAACAAACAAGGGGGAGCUAUCGGAAUCCCACAUCCUUAGUCCUAAGGUACAUAUACAGCAACAACAAGAAGAUAUUCAAAAUGGACUUGAAUACCAAGGCAACAGGAAAUUCUAGAAUGCAAACAAACAAUUUAACAAAUAGGCAAUUUAAGUCAACUAAGCAUGCUUUUAUAAACUAAUAUAGGCUAUAAUUGCAAGUACAAUAAUGCAGGUAUGAAAGGAACGCAGUUUAAAUACUUAAAGUAAAAUUUGAUUUUUAACAAUUAGCUCAAGUACGCGCCCGUCGCCUUACGUACAAGGCAUUCAAUUGCCGAAUAUAAUAUCCUAAGGGGAAAGGACCUACACACAAGGUUAGACAAGCCACUUACCUUGAACCGGCUCUAAAAUCUACUCGAAACCACACAAUUGCCACGAGUAUCUGAUGUUGGGUAUAGUUAUAUAUGUUUUGAUAUUACUUUAACCAUGUUUUAACAUCUUUUUGUUGCUAUUAAGUGUUAAAAAUGCCCAACAUGGUUUAGUUAUUCAUUCUAUGAUAUAUGGAGUUGUAUGUGAUGAUUUAGGGUGUUUGGAGUGCAAAACAUAUGAAGAAAAGAUGUUCCAACUAGAGGAAAAGAGGUUGGAUGCGUCGCAUCCAACCUUGAAAAAAUAAUUUUUGGUUCACCCCUUAGCAGUGAAGUCAGCCCAUAGCAUCCCCAUAGCAUCCUCACCUGGGCAACGUUGAGAUGGAGGAACAAAGGGUGGAUGUGAAGCUUCCACCUUAGCAUGCGAAGCUUAGAAGCGGAGGAUGAGGUGGAUGCGAAGCAUCCACCCCAGCAUCAGUUCCUGAAGCAAAUUCAGACUAAAAAGGGAAUAAUUGUCAAAACCCCUUCUUACAUGAUUAAAAGGGAGAAUGCCUCCAUUAUUGAAAGACUAGAUCUGAUUUUUGAGAGAAAAAGGAGGAGAAGAUUGAUCUUGGAGAGAAAAAAAUCAAGAAGAACAUCAACUUGGAGCAAGGAUUCAAAGAGUUCUUCUAAAUUUCUUCUAGUAUUUACUGAUAUUAUGUUUAAGAUAUUUAUUGUUGAUUUUUGUAUGAAUAUGAAUAGCUAAAAGCCCAAAUAUUCUGGCAACUUUCUUCUAGUAUUUACUUAUAUUAUAUUUAUGAUAUUUAUUGUUGAUUUUUGUAUGAAUAUGAAUAGCUAAAAACCCAAAUAUUCUGGGGUCAUGGGUGUUUGAUGAUCUUGUUAUUUGAUGCUUAGAUUAGAGAUCUUGAAUAUAUCUAUAUGGUUUGUUUAUUUGAUUCUGCUUUUAAUUAUUUUACUGCGUAGCUAACAGCGAAAUGCUAUUUACGAAUCUUGAGUUAAACUUGACAAAAGAAAUUCUUGAUUGCAUAUAGAAUCAAAUAGAACAAGAUCUGAAUCUCGGGCAUCAGGUGAAGGAUUUGCGAUUAAGAUAGAGAUAUACUUAAUUGCCUUGUUUGGUUGAAAAAUAGGAGUUGUACAUGCAUUCUUGCUAAUAUUAAUACCAUAGACAUAUAGGUAUUAAUUUAAUUUGAAUAGACGCAUAAGAACUCGAAAGAUUCCUAUGAAUAUUAUUAACCCUAUGUAUUAAUUUAACUUGAAUAAACGCAUAAGAACUCGAAAGAUUCUUAUGAAUAUUAUUAACCCUAUAAUAAAUAACCCCGUUAAUUCAAUAAAUCAAUCUUAAGCUAAGAUAGUAGCAUGAUAUCUAGCAAGUCCAUGACCCUGGAAUUUCUUUAUAAAAAUUGUUAUAAACAUAUUGUAAACUUGGUGUAGUAAUUUUUUGUUGAAUUAUUGUGCAAUUAUUAAGUAAGUUGUAAAUUGGUUCUUUAAAUAUUUUGUGAUAGUUUAGCUUGUAUUGAUAAUUGUUUGAGUCUACAUCAGGUGAGAAGUAGAUAACAAUUCCUCGUGGGAAGGAUACUUUACUGACUAUUAUAUUACUUGUCGAUCGCGUACACUUGCGUGAGUGUUUUGGUCGAAACAGUAUACAUAUCGUAAAUAACAUCACAAGCAACUGAUUCUACUAUUUAAUUGAAAGCUAAGACGCGAAAUUAGGUAAAAUAACAAAAAUGCUCUUCAGGCCAAUGUCUCCGGAUCAAAUGAAAUUAACAUUUUCAGAACCCUCGUACUCUCACUAGUCUAACCAUAUAAAAAUCUAUUUAAUCGAAGGUCAAACACCCACUCAAAACUCAAUAAUUAGGUCUAUGAAGUUUUACCCAUUUUCCAUUCAAAAAUGUAAAAGCAUAAGAGGAAUUCGUGGUUAGAUUAGUUGGUUAUAAGAAAAAAGGAGUUUCGAAUCAUUACCCAACUGUUUCCCCUGAAAAUCCCUCGAAAGAUCUCUCAAAUCCGAGCUCCCAAGCAUGAGGUUUGGUAAAAAUGGCUAACCCUCGAAUUUUGGAAUGUUUAUACUGCAUAGGUAUUUAAUGCAUCGUGAACCCAAAGGAAGUCACGCAUACGCGAAGAAAGAAAAAUGAAGACUGUCAAAAUGCUCUUCACAAACGCGAGGAGCAGUAUGCAAACACGAAGCCUGGGCUGACAAAGUUACACGAGCGCGAUGAAGUAAAUAGGCUCAGCCCUCAGAGCCAAAUGAAACUUCGCGAACGCGGAAGGCUUCAUGCAAACGCAAAGGGGGAAAGGUUAUAGCUUCAUGAACGCGGGAGAUGUGACGCGAAUGCGAAGAAGGAAAUUGGUCUGCAACAGCUGAAGCAAGAAUUUGCAAUUUUGAAUAACUCCAAUAUGCUCCGUUGAGCAUCCGAAACAACCCAAGGACCCCGAGACCUCAACCAAACCUACGAACAUAUCCCAUUACAUCAUUCAAACUUGUACCAAUCGUUAAACUACCUAAAACAACGUCAGAAACUCAAAUUAAUCAAAGAUUUAAGCUUAAGAACUUCAAAUUCUCUUAAAACAUGCUUUCGAUCAAAACCUAACCAAAUCACGUCCAAAAUGACAUGAAAUUUUGCACAUACAUCCCAAAUGACAUGACAGAACUACUGCAACUUCCGAAAUUCCAUUCCGACCCUCGAAUCAAAAUCUCACUAUCGGACCGGAAACUUCAAAAAUUCAAACUUCAAGAUUUCAAGCCUAACACUCUCCCAACCCCGAAAUCACCUAACGGAGCUAACAUGCCCAUCAAAAUUUUAUUUCGAGGCCGUCUUCACACUGUUCCAACUACGGCAACUUUUAAAUACUUAAGCUCUCAUUUAGGGACAAAGUGUCCCAAAACUCUCUAAAACUCAAAGCCGAACAUUCAGUAGUUGAAACUAGUAGAAAUAGACUUGGGGAAAGCAGAUAGUAGGGGAUUGAGGCAUUAAUUCUUAAGACGACCAGCCAGGUCGUCAUAUCCUCCUACACUUAAACAUUUGUUCGUCGUUGAGCGAGCAUAGAGACAUACCUGGAGUAGUGAAAAGAUGAGGGUAACGGCUGCACAUAUCCUACUCGGUCUCCCAAGUCGCGUCCUCGGCCGGUUGACCCCACCACUGAACUUUUACUGAAGUAAUAUUCUUUGACCUCAACUUUCUAACCUGCCUGUCCAAUAUAGCCACUGGCUCCUCAACAUACGAUAGAUCAUUGUCCAACUGGACUGAACUGACAUCCAACACGUGCGGCAGAUCACCGUGAUACCUCCGGAGCAUCAAAACAUGAAAUACCGGAUGAACUCCUACCAAGCUGGGAGGUAAGGAAAGCUCAUAAGCAACCUCCUCAACAUGCCUCAAUAUCUCAAAAGGGACAAUAAAUCUCGGACUCAACUUCCUUUUCUUCCCAAAUUUCAUAACGCUAUUCAUAGGAGAAACCCGCAGCAGAACCUCUCUUCGACCAUAUUGGAAACAUCACGAACCUUUCGGUCUGCGUAGCUCUUUUGUCUCGACUGGGCUGUACGGAGUCUAUCCUGAAUCACCUUAACCUUUUCCAAAGUAUGCUUAACCAAAGCUGUGCCCAAUAGUCUGGCCUCACCUGGCUCAAACUAGCCCACCGGAGAUCUGCACCGCCUACCAUAUAAAGCCUCAUAUGGUGCCAUCUGAAUGCUGAACUGAUAACUGUUGUUGUAAGCAAUCUCCGCCAAUGGAAAGACUUGAACCCAAGACCCUUCAAACUCAAUCACACACGCACGAAGCAUAUCCUCAAGAAUAUGAAUAGUGAACUCGGGCUGCCCGUCCAUGUGAGGGUGAAAUUCUGUACUCAACUCUACCCGAGUGCCCAACUCAUGCUGAACGGCCCUCCAAAUCCGCGAUGUGACAUAGUACCUUUGUCUGAGAUAGUGGAAAUUGGAAUACCAUGUAGAGGAAUAAUCUUCCGGAUAUAAAUCUCCACCAACCGCGCCGAUAAAUAAGUAGUACACAUAGGAAUGAAAUGAGCGGAGUUGGUCAGCCGAUCCAUAAUCACCCAAAUAGCAUCAAACUUCUUUUAAGUCUGCUGGAGUCCAAUUACAAAGUCCAUGGUAAUCCUCUCCCACUUCCAUUCCACAAUCUGUAUCUGCUGAAGCAACCCACCCAGUUUUUGGUGCUCAUACUUCACCUGCUGACAGUUGAGGCAUCUAGCUACAUAUCCCACUAUAUUUUUCUUCAUCCGCCUCCACCAAUACUGCUAUCUCAAAUCCUGAUACAUCUUUGCGGCACCUGGAUGAAUGGAAUACCACGAAAUGUGGGCCUCCUCCAAUGUCAAUUCCCGAAUACCAUCAACAUUGGGUACAUUGACCGGACCUUACAUCCUUAAUACCCCGUCCUCACCGAUAGUCACACCCCUUACAUCGUCAUGCUGAACCUUGUCCUUGAGGACAAGUAAAUGAGGGUUGUCAUACUGCCGCUCCCUGAUACGAUUGAAUAAAGAAGACCGAGAAACCACACAAGGUAGGACCCGAUUGGGCUCCGAAAGAUCCAAUCGCACAAACUAACUAGCUAAGGCUUAAACAUCCAUCGCCAUAGGCCUCUCUAAAGCUGGUAAAUAUGCCAAACUCCUCAAACUCUCCUCCCGGCGACUCAAGGCAUCAACCACCACAUUGGCCUUGUCCGAGAGAUACAGAAUAAUAAUAUCAUAAUUGUGAGCACGUGAUUUUUGCCCUAUAUGGCAAUAUUUCCCAAAAAUUCAAAAAAAAUGAUUUUUCUUUAUUUUUACAAUAUUUGUACAUUUUUGUGUCAUUUUUCUGAUAAUUGUUUGCAUCUUGUUUGUGCAUCUUAAUUCAUAUGAAACAAAAAAAAAAUGCAGUUUCAUGUAGGAUAUAGUUUUAUAUUUUUAGGAUUAAUUAGGAAUUAAUUUAUUUUAGAACAAAACAUGAAAAAUCACAAAAUAGUUCACUUUGACAUUUUAUUUGUUUUGAUUGCGAGUUUAUCGUAAAAAGGGUUUAAAUAAUUUUAGAAUUUAAUUAAUUUAUCUUUGGAAUAUUAGGACAUUAUUUUAAUUUUUUGUACAUUUAUAAGAUUAGAAAAAUGUGAUAAACAUACAAAAUGGAAAAAAAUAAACAAAAAUGAGAAUUAAAGAAAUUAGAGAAAAACGAAAAAGAAGAAAAUGAUUUUUGAUUUACAAUAUAGAGGAAAAGAAUUCUGGCCCAUUUUUAAUGCAGCCCAAAUAGACCCCUAACCCGCCCAGGCUCAAUAAUCCUGUUCCCCUAUCCGGUCCAAUUAAACGCUUCACCAAACGAUGCCGUUUUGUCGGUUUAACCUUAGCCGUUAGAUCUUGAUCCAAAGAUCAAGAUCAUCUUAUGUUGUUCCCUAUAAAACUGUCGGAACACGUUUCCCCCUCCCCCCUCCCCCACUUCCUAUCGUCUCCUUCACCCCUCCUCUCUCUCAGAAGCACUAGAGACACCGCCGCCAUAUCCCUCACCCCAAUACCCGGCGGUGCCACCGCCAAACUCGACCAAACUAACACCACCCCUUCUCUUCAACCUCCUCUUUACAACCAUGACAACCGUUUCCUUCGAAUCGUAACUCAAUUGUUCAAAUCUUGAUUUGAAAUCUAGGUCAAUAUACAAAUUCAUCCAAAUCGGUUCAAAAUCACACCCCAUAAUCCCCUAACCUCCCUCACCCUUAAUCUUUAACCAAAAUCCCUCGAAUCCAAGUGGAAUUGAACGGAUUUCAAAUCUGAAGUUCGUGGAAGUUGGGUCUGUUUUGGGGGCCUUUUGAAGAAUCGGGGGUCCAUUUGGUUUUAAGCUAACGUUAUAUGUUUAUUUCAUAUAAGUUCGUGGUAGUUGGGUCCGUUUUGGAGCCAUUUUGAAGAAUCCGGGUCCAUUUGGUUUUAAGCUAACAUUAUAUGUUUAUUUCAUAUGAAAUAAAUAUAUAACAUUAAAUUGAAGCCAAAUUUGAGGGCCAAUCGAGUCUAGAGUAAGAAUCCGUAAGUUUCCUUCUUUUCUUUUCUUUUCUUUUAGUGUGAUUCAUUUUCUUGUUUAGUUCAGUCGAGCACGCUAAAACUAAGUUCAUUUUUGUGAUUUUUAAAAGCAAUAGGUUAAUUCGUAUUAGUCUUCUUUUUAAAUUCUGAUUUGGUGUUGAUUCUUUGUUAGUUUAAAUGCUUAAUUUAUUAGCUAUUAGCUUAAUUAAUUUUUGCAAUUGUCUAAUAGGAGACUGAUUUAGGAAUUUGCUCUAUUUCUUUGUUGUGUGCUUCUGAAUUUUGGUUUGGGGUUCGAUUGCUUGUUUGUGAGAUUGGCUAUAACUAUUUAGAUAGCCUUAGGUAAUUUUUAACAGGGGUCAAAAGGGUGGGUCAUUGAAUCUGUAAGGUUAGUAAUUUCAAGGGGUUUCAGGGGCAGUUUGGGCAUGAGAAAAGGGUAGGAUUUUGAAGAACAGUAAUUUUAAUACAAAGAUGAGGGUAGUCUAGGAAUUGUGUAGCCAAAAGAGCAUCCUAGAAGCUCCUAGAAUAGGGUCUUAGUGCACAUUUAUGAAAACUUAGGGAAUAACUUGAGGAACAAGUUAGAAAUUGAGGUUAAAAGCUAUAACUAACUAGGGAUUAAUGGUGCAAAUAGAAAAUCUGACCCUUUGCCCUCAUUCUUGUCUAUAUAAAGGCAUUCAAUGCCUUGUGAAAAGGGGCUGGAAUUAUUAAGCUAAAAAUCUCAUAAAAAAAACUAAUUUCUUCUUUCAUUAGCCUUGUGAAAGGGGGCAGGAGCUUUUAAGUAAUAAUCUCAUAAAAAAAUCUGAUUUCUUCUUUCAUUCUAGUCCUAAAUUUUCUUCAGCAUUCAGAUAUACAGAAAAAUACAAAAAAACAAAUACAUACAAAAAUAUAAAACAACAAAAACUCUUCAGAAAACACCAAUAUAUUUUAUUUCAUUAGAGCUGUAGGUUCUCGUUGCUGAAUCAAUUCAAAGGUUCAUAUGAACUUAGUGGUCACCAGAGGUAUUGGAGCUGGGUAAAUAUCAUGUUAAAAGGGUAAUGACUUUGUAGUAGUGUUUCAUUUCAUAAACUGUACAUUGCUAGUAGCUUUAUAAUGGAUCAUGCUAGUGUAAUGUUGUUGGUAAAUUGGAUUUGAAGUCAUUUAAAGGUCAGGAAGAGAAAAAGCUUAUCCAUACGAAUCAGCUCAUUAAAAUCAGUAAUCCAUAAUAGAUAAAUAGUUUGAUAAAUUAGUUUUGGAGUUCAUGUCUAGCAAUUAAAAUGAAGGUACGUAUGGUCAUUGCAAUGCGUCGUUGCUCUUGCGUGAGUUGUUGCAAUUGGAGUCAGGAUUAUCAUUGUUGGGACUCGAAUCUCUUGACCUCUUUCAUGAGGUCCAGCUAAUUUCAUUCGGCCUGGGCUGAUUUUGGGCCCAACGUGUGCGUUAUUGGGGAAUUCUGUACAAGCCUGCCACUCUCCGUCUAGUUAAUUUCAUUCGGCCUGGGCAGAUUUUGGGCCCAACGUGUGCGUUAUUGGGGAAUCUGUACAAGUCUGCCAUUCUGUGUGGAUCAGGCUAUUUAGGCCCAAGGCCAGGAAGACAUCUGAUUCGGUGUUGCCUAAUUGACAACUUUUCAAUAAUAAUCAACUGGAUAUCCUUCUUGUAUUACACGUAAAGACAAAUCAGAAAUAUACAAUGUAGUCACUCUAUUAAGUUGGCCUUUUAAAUAAAAUAAUGAGACGAGCCUCGCCGAAUAAAAUGCAAAUUGCGGGGCCCUCAUUCAACGUUUACUAAGAAUGAUUAGAAUUUGGAGGGGCCAUUUAGUGAAUUUCAACGGUCUUUAUCAAACAUUAUUAUGCUAGAACCAUUAAGCGCGAUUGAAUUAAAUUACUUUCUUAAACUCGGGUGCGCAUUGAUGCGAUCCAAAUUCGAAUCUCGACGAAGUGGAAACGUGUCGAUGAUCACGUGUACACUGGUGGUGACGUGAUUAGAAAUACGUUUUCACGACGUCGCACGUCUUUUAAAAUAAAUAAUGGUAAAAGUGGUAUAUAAGUAAAAGGCACAUAAGCUAAUCAGAUAAAAUCAAAUUCAAAACUUGAGCGACCGUGCUAGAACCACAGAACCUGGCAGUGCUUAACACCUUCUCCCAGGUUAACAGAAUUCCUUACUCGGAUUUCUGGUUUGCAGACUGUAACAGAGUCAUAUGUUUCCUUGGUUCGGGAUUCAAAAUCGGUGACUUGGGACACCAUAAAUCUCCCAAGUGGCGAAUCUGAAAUAAUUAAUAACCAAAUCCCGUUCUGAUUGUCCUUUCUGUGGAAAAACUCCUUUACGCGCUUUGCAAGGGAGAACAACGAAAAAGGAUGUGUGACAGAUCUGGCGACUCUACUGGGGAGAAGAACCUAGAACGUUUUGUUUAGGGUCAGAAUUCGAGCUUAGAUAAAUUGUUGUAUUUUGUUAUAUAUGAUUUUCCUACAUGCUUUGUGCUUAAUGUGCUAAUUGUUACCGCUUUGAUGUUAUCGGAACUGUAUAUAUAAAAAGAAAUACAUCCUACAUGCUUUGUGCUUAAUGUGCUAAUUGUUACUGCUUUGAUAUUAUCUGAACUGUAUAUAAACUGUGGCGAUACCCUUCUCUCUUCUCCUACGGGGAUGUGCUUACUGGUGGAGACUCCCUAUUCUGUUAGUGUCAUACCCUGAAAUUAGAAAGAGGCCGGAUAAGUUACUAAGCUGCCUGACCCCGCGGGUCACCGGUAAGUUGCCCCCUGCUCGAUUCGAGUUGUCCGCUCGGGUACACAGUCUAGAACACCGACCCAAGUUUUGAACAUAGAAUAACUUGAUAUCAUGCCGGAUCCCUAGUAGGAGCGCUUAUUUGCAUCAUUCUGCAUUUGACUUAGGGGACUCAACACAGGGGUUGGGUCCGUCUAGGGCUAGCAACCUGAAAUGAAAAAGACCAUACUGAUGCAUCCUACAUGCUAUGUACAUAUAUUUGUUUCAAACCUGCAUGUUGACCAGUUACUGAAUCUCGAGAAUGUAGGAAAAUUGAGAAAAAGAGAAAAGAGAAAGAGAGAGAAAUAGCGGUUAGGGAAUUAAUUGAUUUGACCAAUUUUUGAAUCUCGGGAAUUGUGGAAAAUGAGAAAACGAGAAAAGAGAAAGAUAGACAAAUAGUGGUUAGGGAAUUAAUUGAUUACUUUAGAAAAACCAACACCUCAGUACUGCCGAAACUCUGCCGAAAUUUUGAUAAAAUGAAAAAAAGAAGGAAAAUGUUUUAUUUUGUUUUACUAAAAAGCAAAGGAAAAAUAGAAAAAAGAGUCUUUUAUUUUUGAGUAGGUGUUUGCUGAAAAAGAAAAUGAAAAAGAGUCUUUAUUUUAGGUUGAAAAAAAAGGUUGUUUUAUUGUUUGCUGAAAAUGAAAAAAGAAAAGAAAAAAAAGUCGUUAUUCUGUCUUGUUUUCAAAAUUGGAAAAUGAAAAAUAGUUUGUCAUGAGAAAAUAAAAAAAAUCUUGUGUUAAGAAUAGAAUUCUAAUUAGAGAAAUGGUUGAAAAGUCAAACCCCAAUUAAUUGUCUACUAUUUGGCACCUCUUAAAUUAAAAUCUCAGCCGCGAAAACAAAGCAGGGGUCUAGCGAUACCUUAUUUGUGACGCCGCCACUCCUGCCUGACCGGACUCCGGCGAACACUCCAGCCACACGCCAAACAACCACUCCCUCCCUUCCAGAGAUUAAGCUUCAAACUAAGACCUAGAGACUAAGAGGAGCAGCCAUCUUCCAUCUUCAAGACAAGACCAUCAAUGGCUUCUUCAUCUUCCACCAUGAAAGACAACAAAAAAACCUAACUCUAAACACUAGAUAGAAGCUUCCAUUUCUUUUUGUUCUUAUUCGCAUAAUCAAUUUUUCCAAAUCUUAAAUUUGGUGCCGCAGUUACUGUAGCAAAUCACAAACUGGGCGGAUUUGUUUCAGUUUGAAUUCUGUUUUUGCUAUCAUCUUGAUGGAGUUUUCAAGGGGCAUGGAUGCAUCGUCCUCUCCCCAUCCUUUGGCUGUGGGAUAGCCAUAAAAAAAACUCAUAUAUGCUCAGCAAAUCGAAACAAAAACAGAUCCCAUUCAUCGCACAUCUACAAAACCCAAACCGAUCCAGUUCGUUCAUGGUGAGCCUAAUGUAACUUUUACCAUAGAGGAACGCCAAAAAUUUGCUGUGGAGGAAGGCUUGCAUCAAUCAGUAGUGAUGAAACUAUCUACAAGAGCACCAGAACUGAAUGAGCAACGAGAUCUACUACCCAAACACUUAGGUGUUAAAGGUCGAUGCAUCAUUGGUUUAUUCGCACCUAGACAAUUACUCCUAUGAUUUGAUCGUUAUGAUGAUUAUGUAAUUGCUUUAUCUCGAUCAGUUAAUUAUAUGCUGUAUAAGGGUGUGCAACAUCAAUAUCGUGUAUUUCCAUGGACAAUUGGUUAUAAUUCAAAGGAGGAAACAACAAAACCAGUGGUUUGGAUAUCGAUGCCGAAUCUUUCACCAGAUUUAUUCGCGAUGCCUUCUUUGUUAUCUAUUGCAUCAGCUGUAGGAAAACCAAUUGCCAUAGAUAAGGUAACACAAACUAAGUCCAGACCUAGCACUGCUAAGGUGAGAGUGAUUUUAGACUUAAUGGACAAACACCCUACUCGUGUGAGAAUUUAAAGCAUUGAUAAACAUUAUGGAAAUAUUUUGGACUUUUUCCAGGAAAUCGUCUAUGAUAAAUUACCUUUGUAUUUUAAUGGUUGUAAGUGCUAGGGUCAUGAUGAGACUACCUGCAGAUUACUUGAGCCUCGAAGCGCAAAGAUGCUCUCGGCGCACGUUACUGCUGUCGGCGCACAUUACCAAUAAAACAGUAAGAUUUCUGGCGCACGUUAUCAAGGUGCUCUCGCUGUUGGAAAUGGCUCGCCGUCACCGUCGAGAACCAGUCACAAACUCGGGUGGCGUUACUCCAGAUCCUGGGGUAACUAAAGAGCUCGAACCUAUAACCCUGGUUGACUUUCUUCCACCCUCUUUGCAACCGAAACUUACAGAUCUACAACAUGCAAACGAAGCUGGUACUAGGAAGCAGCAUAUGGAUAGCCAAGAUGAUGACCUUGUGAGGAGACUGCAAUUUUCUGAUGUUGGGGAGUCUGUAGUCUCGCCUCCAACUGCUGCGGAUGUGGUGAGAGGAAAUCGGAAUACUCAAAUGGGGAAAUCACUGUCAUUUGUUCCCCCAGUCAGCAGGGAGGGCCGAAAUGUUGUUACCAUCAGUGAGACCUCCAACUGCUGCUGAUGUUGUGAGAGGAAAUCAAAAUGCUCAAAUGGGGAAAUCACUGUCAUUUUUUCCCCCAGUCAGCAAGGAAGGCCGAAAUGUUGUUACCAUCAGUGAGGAGGAUCUUGAACCACAGGUGGAGUACUGGAAAAACUCUCUGAUUGGAUACAUUAUUGGUGAUAACCCUACUGAAAAGGCUAUGGAGAGCUAUGUAAUGCAUGUAUGGAACUUUGUCUCGAAACCUCAAAUCUUAGCCCAUUCUGAAGGGUACUGAAUUUAUCGGUUCUUGAACAAAAAUGAUAUGGAUCUGGUGCUGCAUUCUGGACCAUAUACCUACAGAAACAAGCCCAUGGUGUUGAAGCCUUGGGAGGUGGAUUUUUCUUUGCCUCAAAUCCUAGCCCAUUCUGAAGGGUACUGCAUUUAUCGGUUCUUGAACAAAAAGGAUAUAUCUGGUGCUGCAAUCUGGACCAUAUACCUACAGAAACAAGCCCGUGGUGUUGAAGCCUUGGGAGGUGGAUUUCUCCUUUCAAAGUGAUGUGCUGAGUACCAUUCCUAUAUGGAUUCGCUUCCCUAGGUUGCCAGUAGGUUACUAGUCAGCAAAGGUGUUAAGCAAGCUUGCAAGUGCUGUAGGAAAUCCAUUGUACACUGACAAAGUCACAGCCCACUUUGAGAGGAUUUUUUUAGUUUUAAUCAAAUGCAUUGCUAGGUUACUAGUCAGCAAAGGUGUUAAGCAAGCUUGCAAGUGCUGUAGGAAAUCCAUUGUACACUGACAAAGUCACAGCCCACUUUGAGAGGAUCUCCUUUGCUCGUGUACUGGUAGAGGUUGAUGCAUCUCAGCCACUACCUAACCAGAUUGACAUUGAUACCCCCUAUGGUCCAAAGAUCCAAACUAUUGAAUAUGACUGGAAGGCCAAGUUCUGUAACCAUUGUCUAAAGUUUGGACAUGAAUCCCUCGACUGUGGUAUGAUGUCAAGAAGGAUGGUGUUACAAACUUGGAACCACUGGAGGGCCCUAGGAGGCAGAGAUGGACUGCUAAGAAGGCCCCUGCUGCUAAAGUACCUCAUGCCACUGUCCAAACAGCUAUUGAGGUAAAUGAUGAAGCACCUAAACAACUUAUGGCAGAUCAGGUAGCUGAUGUAGUGCUGUCUACUCCUCAGAAAGCACCAAUACAGUCGACAUCUGGAGAUCAACUGUGCAAUACACUGGAUGCCAGAAGUACAACCAUUAGAGCAGCAUUGGCUGACAAUGGCAAGAAAGGAAAGACUCAAAACACUGUAGACCACACUGCUGUGAGGUUAAUGCUGAAGCACCUACACAACUUAUGGCAGAUCAGACAGCUGAUGUAGGGAUGGCCACUCCUCAGCAAGCACAAAUACAGUCAACAUCUGGAGAUCAAAUAGGCAAUACACUGGAUGCCAGAAACACUACACUCAAUGCAGCAUUGGCUGACAACUGCAAGAAAGGAAAGGCUGUAAAUGAGGUUUUAGAUGCUGGUAGGAAAGACCAGCAUAUUGAUCCUGGUCCCUUGUGUUUAUGAUCAUUGUCACAUGGAACAUAAAAGGGCUGAACCUAGCCCAUAAACAGAAAGAACUAAAAACCUUUCUGAAUGCUAAUAAAGUAGAUGUAUUGGGUUGUCUUGAAACUAGAGUAAAGCAACAUAAAGCCCUGAAAAUCCAAAGGAAGGUUGCACAGGGAUGGAAGCUGUUUUGCAACUACUCAGAGGCAGUUAAUGGUAGGAUCUGGGUGCUCUGGAAACCACACAUCCAGACUACUAUAUCCUAUGCUUCUGAUCAGUUUGUGCAGUGCUACAUAGAGGAUCCCACUAGCCAUAUAAAAACUCACUUGACUAUUGUAUAUGCCCAUAACACUGCCAGCCAAAGAGAAAGAUUAUGGAGUGACCUCAAAGGGAUUUCUAUUCCUAACCAAUACACUUGGUUAAUUAGUGGAGACUUCAACACUGUCUUAUCUUCUGAAGACAGGAUUGGCUCCACUAUUACUGAGGCUGAGGUUAGAGGAUUCAAGCAAUUCAUUUAUGACUUGAACCUUACUCCCCUUAGGAAGAUAGGAUGGAACUACACUUGGACAAAUAAGCAACACACUUCAACUAGAGUUUAUAGCAAGAUAGAUUGGGCACUGGGAAAUUUCCAGUGGGUGCAACAGUAUGGGCAUAUUGCAGCUGAGUUUUUAAGCCCUUCAGUCUCAGACCAUACACCAAUUCUUAGCACACUUCAACUAGAGUUUACAGCAAGAUAGAUUGGGUACUGGGAAAUUUCCAGUGGGUGCAACAGUAUGGGCACAUUGCUGCUGAAUUUUUAAACCCUUCAGUCUCAGACCAUACACCAAUUCUUAUCAAGUUGGGUGGCCAGAAGCUUCUGCACCCUAAGCCCUUCAGGCUUUACAUUGGCAUCAUGGACCUUCCACAGUUUCAAGACAUAGUCAAGCAUGUAUGGAACUAGGAGUGCAGGGGCAAUGCUAUGCAACAGGUUUGGUCUAAACUGAAGCUCUUGAAGCAGCAGUUAAAGGAUGUUAACAAUCAUAUGGCCUCCUACAGCCAGAAACUUAUCCAGGCCAGAGAAUCUCUUGAUAUUAUUCAGACUCAACUGCAGAAUACACCACUUUCACAGGACUUACGGUUAACAAUCAUAUGGCAUCCUACAGUCAGAAACUUAUCCAGGCCAGAGAAUCUCUUGAUAUUAUUCAGACUCAAAUGCAGAAUACACCACUUUCACAGGACUUACUUCCUGAGGAAAGCUCAGCAUUGGCAGAAUUAAAAAAAUAGAGCAGUGUGGAAGAACAAGUGAUGAGGCAAAAGUCAAAGGCCACUUGGAUUGACCGUGGAGAUGCAAAUACUAGAUAUUUCCAUGCUCAAUGGAAGAUCAGACAAUGCCAAAAUACUAUCAACUUAGUCUACACUGACACAGGAGUGACUCUAAACAUGGAGAUGCAAAUACUAGAUAUUUCCAUGCUCAAUGGAAGAUCAGACAAUGCCAAAAUACUAUCAACUCAGUCUACACUGACACAGGAGUAAAGCUUACUGAUCCAACAGAUGUAGAGCAGGAGUUCCUUACAGUUUUCGACUGAUGGGAGUAUGUGCUCAGGAAUUGCCAUGUGUGGAUAUUACUACAAUCAUAACAGGUAAAUGCUUGUCCCUAGCUCAACAGAGGAUGCUAAUUAGGGAUAUCACUAUGGAGGAGGUUUCUGAUGCACUUCAUGACAUGCCAAAGAACAAAGUCAAGCAUGAUGUCUUUGCUACUACAAGGGACUUUUUCACUACCUGCUCUAUGCCACAUAUGAUCAAUACUACAGCCAUUGCAUUUGUACCCAAGGUCAGCUCCCCUGCAUCAAUCAAGGACAUUAUUUACCAAGAACUGGGAGAUAAUCAAGCAUGAUGUCUUUGCUGCUACAAGGGAUUUUUUCACUACCUGCUCUAUGCCACAUAUGAUCAAUACUACAGCCAUUGCAUUGGUACCCAAGGUCAGCUCCCCUGCAACAGUCAAGGACUACAGACCCAUUGCCUGAUGCACUACCUUGUACAAGCUUGUAUCAAAGAUCAUUACCAGAAGAUUAAAAGGUGUUAUCACUGAACUAGUUGGCCUAGCCCAGUCUGCAUUCAUUGAAGGAAGGAGCAUUGCUGAUAAUAUUCUCCUCAGUCAUGAGAUUUCAAAGGUUACUCUAGAAAGGGUGUCUCUCCUCGAUGUGUACUGAAAGUUGAGUUGAGGAAAGCUUAUGACAUACUGGAAUGGCCCUUCUUGCAGCAGAUUCUGAUUAUUGCUGAUAAUAUCCUCCUCAGUCAUGAUAUUUUCAAAGGUUACUCUAGAAAGGGUGUUUAUCCUCGAUGUGUACUAAAAGUUGACUUGAGGAAAGCUUAUGACACACUGGAAUGGCCCUUCUUGCAGCAGAUUCUAAUAGCUUAUGGAUUCCCAGCCAAAUUCAUUGACUGGAUUAUGGCCUGUACCUCUACUGUAUCCUUUUCCUUAGAAAUGAAUGGAGGACUCACUAAACCAUUCAAUGCCAAGAGAGGGAUAAGACAAGGAGAUCCAAUGUCUCCAUAUCUAUUUGUGCUAGCUAUGGAGUAUUUGAACAGAAGCAUGGGACAACUCCACAGAAAUGAAAACUUCAAUUUUCAUCCAAAGUGCAGGCAGCUAAACUGUACACAUAUUUGUUUAGCAGAUGAUCUAAUUAUGUUUUGUCGUGCAGACACCAUCUCCAUCCAGAUCUUACACCAAACUUUCCUUAACUUUUCUAAGGCUUCUGGUCUGGAGGCAAAUGCAACCAAGAUUGCCAUCUACCUCGCAGGGGUAUCACAAGAGGUUAAAACAGAAUUGAGAGAACUCUUGGGCUUCAGUGAAGGCAAACUACCCUUUAGAUACCUGGGCAUUCCCCUGGAUUCUAAGAAACUCUCUAUACAUCAGUACCUGCCUCUCAUUGAGAGAAUCACAGCCAGGAUCACCUGCUGGUCUGCAAAAUUACUUUCCUAUGCAGGAAGAUGUCAGUUAAUUAAGGCUGUCAUCUUUGGCAUACAAGCCUUUUGGUCCCAAAUCUUCCUCUUGCCUAAGAAAGUAUUAAAGGCCAUUGACACAAUAUGUAGGACUUUCCUAUGGACAGGUGCUGCUAGUGUAUCAAAGAGAGCCCUAGUGGCUUGGGAUAGAGUCUGCAGGCCCUUAAAUGCUGGAGGUCUAAAUAUAUUGAAUAUAACCAUCUGGAACAAAGCAGCAGGAUAGAGUAUGCAGACCCUUAACUACUGGAGGCCUAAAUAUAUUGAAUAUAACCAUCUGGAACAAAGCAGCAAUUACAAAACUACCUUGGGACCUUGCUAGGAAGAAGGACUUCCUAUGGGUCCGCUGGGUUCACUGCUACUACAUCAAAAAAGCUGAUAUUGGCAUAGUCAAUGUACCCAAGCAAGCAGCAUGGGUCAUCAGGAAGAUCCUCCAAUGCAGAGAUGAUCUUAAAGCCAACCAGCAGCUACAAAGCACCCUUGAUGACAGAUUCAAGACUGUGUGCUGCCUUGACAAACUUCAAAUCCAGAAAUUGUAUAUCAGUAUGCUCCCUAGAUUUGAUAGAGUCGACUGGAGAAAUUUACUUCUGGUUCAAAAUGUCCUGCCUCGACACAAGUUCAUUGCUUGGCUGGCUGCCCAAAGAAGGUUACCUACUGUGGAUAGAUUAGCAAUCUAUGGUAUUCAAAUCCUUUCACUAUGUGUGUUUUGCAAACAACAGUUGAAAACUUUCCUGCACCUCUAUUUUGAAUGUUCUGUUACUAAGAAUCUAUGGUCCAGAAUUGGUUGCUGGUUGGGCCAUUCGAGACAAAUCCUUGACUGGGACAGUGAACUGCAAUGGAUCUGCAGUAAAGCUCGUAGUCGUGCAUGGAGGAAUGCCAUCACUGCCGCUGCCUUUGUACAUGUCGUAGCUUUAAUAUGGCAGUCUAGAAACAAAAUACGAUUUCAGAACUCGGUAUAUAAUGAAGAUAGAACCACUAGAGAGAUUGCACUACUCCUUCACAUUCGUGGGAGACAUAGCAGAAGCUGGUAGAUUGGUCUACGACAACUCAACUACUUUCCAUAACUCUUUUUGUGUCGUUACUUGUGGAACUCAAAUACAUAUGAGUUUGCGCUUCUUUUGGUAGUUUCGUAGAAAUUGAAAUGUAAAUAACAUCAAUAGCUGACUGUCCAAUCGGCUACUAGUAGGAACACUUGUACAUUUUUUUUGCUAUAUAUGAAUACCAAGCUUUUAACUGAAAAAAAAUUUCUGGAAAUGUUUUGGAAUUUUUCCAGUAAAUCGUCUAUGAUAAAUUACCUUUGUAUUGUAAUGGUUGUAAGUGCCAGGGUCAUGAUGAGACUACCUGCAGAUCAAAUCCCUUGUGAUAAAUUCAGAGGAGAUCUAAGACAUAUAUUGAAUGAGAUUGAUGAAAGGGUUACUGCUAAGAGUUCUCAAAAUGUAAUUGGGCAGAGUAACUCACACCCAGCCACUUUUACUACUAAUGCUGAUCGACCUAACAAAGAAAAAGUAGCUCAUUCAGUUGCAACUGCUGGGAAAUCUAUUUGAAUGGGUGCUACUGGUGCAUCUGGUGUAACAUCAUCACUUGGUGUAAUGCAUGCUGAUCAUGCUCUUGCUAGAGGGUCCCAGUUGAACGAAAGAGGCUAUGAAAUGGCUACUGUGAAUCAUGAGCAGCAGGGGGUAGUUUCACAUACUAGAAAUCCAGUUUUGGAUAAUGCAAAUUCUGUGCAAGUAGUUGGUGUAAAUGUUUCUGUUGAUGGUGCUGUUAGUUUUCGAACUGUUGCAUCAAUGGAACAAAAUGCUAUUGUAUCUGUCCAAACUGGUGGCGUCAAGAAGAGUUUACCUAUGAAAAUUCACUCUAAUGAUCGACCAAGUUUGGGACAGUGCUCAGGGGCUGGUGUAGCAGCAUCACUUGGUCCCACCAGAGGGUAGUUUCACAGUCUGGAAAUCCAGUUUUGGAUAAUGCAAAUUCUGUGCAAGCAGCUGGUGUAAAUGUUUCAGUUGAUGGUGCUGUUAGUCUUCGAACUGUUGUAUCUGUGGAACAAAAUGCUACAGCAGUGGUCCAAACUGGUGGCGUCAAGAAGAGUUUUGGUGAGAAGCUAGACUCGACUCAACAGAUGAAGGAUGCUAACAUACUUUAUGCAAAUUUUACAUUUGUUGCAUCAUCUGUAGCAGACUUACAAAAGGCUGUUGAUAGACCAGAGGAACCUAUGCAAAUUCACUCUAAUGAUCAACCAAAUUUGGGACAGUAUUCAGGGGCUGUCAUCAUCUGUAGCAGACUUACAAGAGGUUGUUGAUAGACAAGAGGAACCUAUGCAAAUUCACUCUAAUGAUCAACCAAGUUUGGGACAAUGUUUAGGGGCUGCUGUAGCAGCAUCAUUUGGUGUAAUGCAGACUGAUCAUGCUCUUGCUAGAGGGUCCCAGUUUAACGAAAUGGAUAUUGUGAAUCAUGAGCAGCAGGGAGUAGCUUCACAGGCUGGAAAUCCAGUUUUGGAUAAUGCAAAUUCAGUGCAUGCAGCUGGUGUAAAUGUUUCAGUUGAUGGUGUUGUUAGUCAUCGAACUUUUGCAUCUGUGGAUCAAAAUGAUGCUGCAGCUGUCCAAACUGGUGAAUUCAACAAGAGUUUUGGUGAGAAGUUAGACUCGACUCAAUAGAAGAAGGACGCUAACAUGCAUUUUGCAAAUAUCGCAACUAUUACAACAUUUGCAGCAGACUCACAAGAGGCUGUUGAUAUACCUGAGGAACAUAUGCAAAUUCACUCUAAUGAUCGACCAACUUUGGGACAGUGCUCAGGGGCUAAGGCCUCAAAGAUUGUACCUGUAGGUGAGGCCCAAAUUCUGGGCAGUAACGUAUCUGGACAGAGUAAAAGAGAAGCUUGGAAAGUAAUAAACAACACAAUCUUCUACAAAGAAAGGAUCAACUCCAAAUAUGCAAAACAAAUGUCCUCGAACAAAUGACUUACAAGUUGGCACCACUCCAAAUUAUUUUCAGCUCCUUGAUACAGAUUUGGGCAGUGAAUUUGAAGGAGCAUCUGGACAGCUCAUGAUCUCAACUGGAAACAUGAGAGACAUAGUUGCUAAAUAAAAAUUGUGGAAAGAACACCGGGAGAAGGAUGAUGAAGAGGACUGGGGCGAAUUUGCUGGUUACUCUUCUGAAGAAACUGACCAGGAAAAAUUGUGGAAAGAACACCGGGAGGAGGAGGAUAAAGAGGACUGGGGCGAAUUUGCUGGUUACUCUUCUGAAGAAACUUACCAGGAGGUUGAUCAAGAUAGUACAGGGGAGGACUUGGAUGCUAUCAAGCCGCAAGGGACAACAAUAAAUAGCAAAUUAAACCUUAAUGCUCCUGCAUUCAUUCCAUGAUUUUCACCUCCUGCUGGUACUACAGAUGCAGGAUCAGGAAGGGCGGUACAAGCUGCACAAUCAUCUCUCAAGCAGUCGACUAAAGGGGAUACUACAAGUCAAAUGCAACUGCUAACAAACACUCAAUUUGCUGCCUUCAAAAAUGCAGUCGCAAAAAUAAAAUGUGAGCAGCAGCAACAGCAGAAUGCAAGGAUUUUAGGACCUGUUGUAACAUUUUCAACAUCUGAAUAUCACAAAUGUAGCCAAGUUCAUAAGACAAGCAUGCAGCAGCAACAGAACAAUCCAAAUAAGUUGGCUGCCACUUUGGACAAUCCAAAGGCUUCAACAAUUUCAAAUCUUGGGCAUCAGAUAACUUUGGAAGAAAGAAUGCUACUGGAUGCAUUGGUAAAUUCGGAAGCUUCACAGAAUUUACUUACCAAGUCAACUAACGGACAAAAGAAAAAAAAUUCAAGCUGCACAUAAAUGGUUGAAACAAAUCAGGUAAAGACAUUAUUAUUAAAAUCAGAAGAUGCAAAUACUGUGAUGACGCAACACACAAUUCAAAAUUUGCCAAAUCCAGUAAAUGUGGGAAGGGACACAUACGAAGACUCAGAAGAGGAUGCAAUUUUGCAAGAAUGCCGCGCACAUGCAGCAAAUCAAGAUGAUUUAUCACCCAUGCACAAUGGACGUAACAAGAAGCAUCUCACAAGAAUGAAUAGUUGGGACGACAAGGUGAGUGAUGAAGCAAUUGGUAUGAGACCUCCAAUAAGAUAUUCAAAACAAAAGCAAGCUGCACCAACUACAUCCACCUAGUCCAAACGGUCAAAAAAGAAGUCAUGAAUUUUGAAAUCUUUUUGAAAAAUUAUGACAGUGAGGACAAAGAAUUGCAAUUUCAACUUUUCACAAGUUUGGGCAAGAAGGGACAACAUUUUAUUUCUAUCCUCAUUUAGUCUCCCAUUUGUUAAAUAUUAUCAUAUGUAAUAUCAUCACAGAAUAUGUUAUAAAUUCUGUGAUGAUCAUACAAUAUUUGGUCCGUGCAUCUUCUUAUUUCUUACAUGUUUUCUAGUAGACGGGGCUAUUGUUGGCCUCAAUAGAAUUUGUCAGGUAAGGUUUAGCGAGGUUUAGUUAUAUGGGUAACAAGACCGAUGCUAUUGCCCCCCUUAUUUUACUUUUCCUAAUUGUUAUAUUUUUUUUUGCUUGUAUUAAUAUAAAACUAACCCUAGGCGCUUGCCAAGCGGAUUGUCAAAAAAAAAAUUCUAAUUAGAGUGAAUGUCUAUCUUGUAGAGAGUUUUACUUUGAGGCUAAGUCUUUUUUCCUCCGAUAAAUAGAGGGGUCUUACCCCAUUGUAAACCACCCCAAAAUUCAAUAAGAAUUUUCUCUCUCUCUUUCUCUGUAAUAUUUCUCUUGUUAUUUUAUUAUUUUAUAACACGUUAUCAGCACGAGACUCUAACUAAUUGAGUAGAUGGUGGUUGUUUUAAUUUAUAGAUAUACUAUUAAAUAGUUGUCUAAUGUACGAGAAAUUAAACCACCCAUGGAAUAUAUAUGAUUAAUUCGGACAGUAGCUGAAUAUGCAAUAACAUGCUUGCUAAUCUCAUUAUUCUUGCAUAAUAUAUAGGCUUAAUUUGGACAGUGGCUGAAUUUGCAACUACAUGCUCGCUAAUCUCAUUAUGCUCGAGAUUACUUCUGUUACACAUUAGACCGGUACACUCUAAUCAAAAGUUGCGGCUGAACAGAGCCCCACCUCCCUGUUUCACGUCUUCUUCUUGAACCCCCCCUCCGUGCCGGUUCUGGAGCUUCUCCAGUGAAAGAAGAUGCCGGUGGUCGGUUUUAGUUUGUCCGACAUCAUUGUUCCUUCUUGUUCAUCAUUUUUUUUGGAAACUUAUUAUGCAUGAAACUGGAUUUGAGAGACAAGACUACUCUCAGUAGUGAAUUUGUUUUUAUGUCCUAGCAAUCACAUGGCAAACAGAUAGAAUAAUCUUCUGCAUCUUUAAAACCUUGCUGAUGCGAGGUUGCCGAGUUUGGUGAAGUUCUCGUCUGUAAUCGCUUUGGGUUUGUAAUUUUGGAGAAUCUCUUUCAUUGUACGGUGAAAAUUUGCAGCAAUCGAGAAUUAAGGCUUGAAAUGUCAGUCUUAAAUUUAGGAGGAUGUUCAUGAAGAAUAUUAUGCUUUUCUCCGUAAGAGGGGCUCACGAAAAUCUUCUAAACAUAGCUUUGGAUACAUGCACGAUGCUCAAUUUGCUCAAUUUUUACAUAAUUUUGAGCAUAAUGAUUGUUAAGCGUUUUAUGAACUUCCUUCAAGAUUAAUUAUGGAUUUAAGGUAAGUAUUUUACUUUUCUCUUUCAAAUUCUUGUAAUUCUAUAAUUUGAUUUUAAAUACAAGCAUAAACGGUAAAUUUUGAUUGCAACUUAAAGGUAGCUUGAAAGAUAUUAUAACCGCCCAACGUGGUAAAUUUUCUAUGUCUUGCCAUGAUCAAAUUCAUAUAUGAUUGUGGGCAAAGAAUUAAAAAUCCGUCCCAUUGAAUUUGCUCCAUUCUCANNNNNNNNNNNNNNNNNNNNNNNNNNNNNNNNNNNNNNNNNNNNNNNNNNNNNNNNNNNNNNNNNNNNNNNNNNNNNNNNNNCAUUCCCUAUAAAGAAUGUGAUAGCAGUAUGUGAUAAGUCUGAAAGAAGACAAAAUUAUUACCGUGAAGGUGUCAAUGGAUGUGGACGUGGCAAUAGACAAAAUUACAAUCGUCAUCAUUGUGAUAAAGAAGAUAAUAAGGAUUACCAAAAUAAGCCUUCACUCUGCGAAAGUAAUAUUUGUCAUCAAUUUGACAAUAUGAGAUUUUAUAAAGCACAUAUAGAUGAUUAUNNNNNNNNNNNNNNNNNNNNNNNNNNNNNNNNNNNNNNNNNNNNNNNNNNNNNNNNNNNNNNNNNNNNNNNNNNNNNNNNNNNNNNNNNNNNNNNNNNAAAGCACAUAUAGAUGAUUAUGAUCCAUUCAUGAUGUGAGUGUGACAACAUCUAAUUUAUGAAUACAUAUUCAUUCUUGGAAGAAUAUGAACAUGCUAGUUGUAGUGAAUAUACCACAUGCCUCUAGAAGGAGGUUUGAGAUGAUAUAAGAAAAUAAUGUCAUUAUUACUGCAUGAAUGGUCAUUGAUCACGUACUUAUUGUACGUCAAAAUAUUUUGGUAAUGUGAUUAUUCAAGGACAAUAAUAAUGCAAGAAACAUAUCUUGCAUAUAAUUUUGACCAUGACCAUAAUGGUACAGUUUUCUCUUUAAAGAAAUAUUCACUACAUGGAUAUUGAUUAAUAUGUGAUAGUACCUAAUUAAUUGAGAACUCUGUAAGAGCCAAUUAUACUAUUUUCGAGAAACACAAUUGAUUACCAAUAAGGUAUUGUGUUGUAGUAAGUCUCAAAGAAACUUAUUCAGUUUCCAAAGUAUAUGCGAAAGCGGUUGAUUAUAUUGAGACUAUAAAUAAAGGAAAUAUUUAAUAUCUUCUAUUACUACAAGUUGUAGCAAAAUAAUAUGUAUGCGAAAAGCUACCCGCUUUAUUAUGCAGUUUGUACUACACAAAUAAAAGAAUGCCACAAUAAAGUAGAACUUUAUUGACAUAAAACCCAUAUCAUAAUAAACUUGGAGUUUAUUGAUAUCCAGUUGGCAUAGGUGGUUUAGUCAUAUUAAUUAAAGUAUGAUAUGCAAAAAUAAACGAGAAUCUAUAUGGGCAAAUAUUAAAAAACUAGAAAGAUCUUU